GACGAACGCUGGCGGCGUGCCUAACACAUGCAAGUCGAACGGAACUGUUUUGAAAGAUUUCUUCGGAAUGAAUCUGAUUUAGUUUAGUGGCGGACGGGUGAGUAACGCGUGAGUAACCUGCCUUCAAGAGGGGAAUAACAUUCUGAAAAGAAUGCUAAUACCGCAUGACAUAUCGGAACCACAUGGUUUUGAUAUCAAAGAUUUUAUCGCUUGAAGAUGGACUCGCGUCCGUUUAGUUAGUAGGUGAGGUAACGGCUCACCAAGACCGCGAUCGGUAGCCGGACUGCGAGGUUGAGCGGCCAAAUUGUGACUGAGCCACGGCCCAGGAUCCUACGGGAGGCAGCAGUGGGGGAUAUUGCGCAAUGGGGGCAAGCCUGACGCAGCAACGCCGCGUGAAGGAUGAAGGUUUUCGGAUUGUAAACUUCUUUUAUUAAGGACGAAAAAUGACGGUACUUAAUGAAUAAGCUCCGGCUAACUACGUG
Molecule: ribosomal RNA, 482 nt
Filed under: uncultured bacterium
Lineage: Bacteria
Description: partial 16S ribosomal RNA
Rfam family: Bacterial small subunit ribosomal RNA
Source: RNAcentral